Molecule: ribosomal RNA, 253 nt
Filed under: uncultured bacterium
Lineage: Bacteria
Description: partial 16S ribosomal RNA
Rfam family: Bacterial small subunit ribosomal RNA
Source: RNAcentral
UACAGAGGUCCCAAGCGUUGUUCGGAUUCACUGGGCGUAAAGGGUGCGUAGGUGGUUAGGUAAGUCUGAUGUGAAAUCUCUGGGCUCAACCCAGAAACUGCAUUGGAUACUAUCUAGCUAGAGGAGUGGAGGGGGGACUGGAAUUUACGGUGUAGCGGUGAAAUGCGUAGAUAUCGUAAGGAAGACCAGUGGCGAAGGCGGGUCUCUGGACAGUUCCUGACGCUGAGGCACGAAGGCCAGGGGAGCAAACGGG